RNAcentral lists this long non-coding RNA (1069 nucleotides) under Pongo abelii (Sumatran orangutan). Its description in RNAcentral is "lincRNA". The record is from RNAcentral. Lineage: Eukaryota; Metazoa; Chordata; Mammalia; Primates; Hominidae.
GGAGGGGGGACACGUGACCGCCCGGCCAGGCGGCCCGGCGCGCCCCAUUCGCGAUGGGCACCCCAUCUUCCUCCUGGAAAAGCCGGGGGACACAGAGAAGGCGGAGGAGCACGCGGGGUGCAGGAGAGCCUACCAGCCCCUUUAGCCGCAGUGCUGGUGAUUCCGGCCGCUGAACCCGGAGAGGAAAGGCUCCCACGCGGCCAGCCGGCCUUGACUGUCCUCCCGCCCUGCCCUUGGCCGCAGUACCCUCCCCUCGGCUGCAGUAACCGCCCCCUACACCUCCAGGCAAGGGCACGCUCAGUGUAGACCACCGCCACUUCAUAGAUGCCAGUGCCACUUAAGAGUGGUGUUGGGUUUUUUUUUUUUUCUUUCCUCCUCUCUGCACACCAGCACAUUGUACCCGAGGGAAACUCACGGCGGUGCACUGCAGACACCGCCCAGCUCCAGGGCCCGAAGACCCUCCGACCAGGCCCCAGGAUGCCUGAGGUCUUCCAGGUCAUUACGUGGAGGAACUCAGGCCUGCUCCCUGCGCAGAAGGAGGAGGCGUCGCGGGAGCUGCAGUCCCCGAUCCUUCCCAGGAAGCCGGCCGGGUGGAAGGGGAGAGGGCGGUUAUCGUGGUGCGAAUCCAAUUCGCAGCCUCUGGGAGCACGUUGCUAAUAAAGGUCAAAUUAAAACAACUAAGUGGUGCCGGCAGGGACGCGCCGCAUGGUCAGGAGAAGCCCGGCUAUUAAUCAUCCAUAACGAGCAUUGCUUUUCUGGUGUGGGAGAAUGGGGCUGUGCGACAGCCCCCCGGAGUUGCGCUCUGCUCUGAACCCUAAGCUCCCCCAGAGCAAGUGGAUUCCGCAGCCUAUUACCCCACCUCCCCACGGCCCCCUCUCGGGGCGGCACCACCCUAGAUGGCAGGAAUUCGGAGAAAAUGCGGUGUCACGUCCGCCGCUAUGCCCGCACACGCGUCUGCGCCAACUCCAGCAACACGUGGGGACCGUGAAUCUGGGCGUCUGCUCUCCACUUAGGUGGUUAUGUGGGUAUACUUAUAUGAUUACUGAUUAAAACCAAAUUGGACGGAGAA